Marmota monax (woodchuck) is the source of this 3966-nucleotide long non-coding RNA. RefSeq lists it as uncharacterized. Lineage: Eukaryota; Metazoa; Chordata; Mammalia; Rodentia; Sciuridae. The transcript has 2 exons. The record is from RefSeq and is a predicted model, not a curated record.
UCCUACAUGAAAAGCAGGAAAAAGUUUCUUGAUAAAUUUUAUUUGCUUUUUCUACCUUCAAAUGAGAAUGAAGACAAAUAUUUCUUAUUGAUGCUGUCAGCGACCUCAAACACUGUGUGCUACCCCCUCCUGAGUUUUUCUGUGUCAAAGGGCCAAGUAGCCUUUGCUCUUUCAGCGAUUUCAGUUUGCCAGGUUGCCUAACUCAGAGACCAUGUCUCGUUUUAGUAUGUCUCCUUAGAACUCUGAGUCUUUGGGGAAAGCCAGAUUCAUCCAGUGCAGUGCUAAGACCUUCCUUCCAUAACUAAACAAAGAAGAAAGAAAUCUAGGAAAGCCAUUAAAGGAAGCACAGUAAGAGACAAAAACACAGAAGACAGUGGGGAAAUGUGCCCUUCCCCUUCAGAGAGGAAAUGAGGCCCUGACCUGCACAGAUGCCUCCCUGUUUGCUAGCCCACGGACAGUCUGCACGGAUCAGCAUUCUGCAGCAGCAGUCUGGGAGACAAGAGGGUGCAGCACCACUGUCACUGGCAUGGGCUACAGACUCCAAGAAACCUACAUCUGAAGCCUCGUCCAUGAUUUGAUAUUUUUGAAGUCCUUUUGAGCCCUUGUUUGUUCUUUGAUGACACAAGACCUACUCCCUGAAUCGAGGAAUAAAUAAGAUAUGCUGGGGGGAAUGUACCUGGUAUAGCAUGUGCUCAAUAAAAGGUAGGAGGAAGAGGAAGUCAAAGAGAGAGAAUUAUCAUUAGCCUUGAGAAAUGGGUGCCCCCAUAGGGUAGUCCCUGGCAUUUUAAAUGCUACCAUUGGUACUUUACUCCUUUUUUCUUUUCUCAAUGUCACAUCCCAAAUCGACAUUCACUGAGCUCCUGGUAAAGAAGGAAGGCAGAGUUCAUAAACAAGAGUGAGCUAUAUAUGGAUCCUGCCUUCAAAAGAGCAAGCUGGUGUUAUAGAUGGGAGGGAGGAUGUCCAAGACACACUUCAAAAUGCUGCACAUUGAUCAAUGGGAAAAAUGGAUCUGCAGUUCCUACCACUGGUGAGGGGAAAAGGAAGUGGAGUGGGGCAACUUUACUUAGGGAAGACCAGAGUUCAUGGCUAGGUGAUCAGAAAAGAAACUUCCUUGCAAAAUAGAUCCUACAGAGCAUGGAGGUGCAGCUUCGAGGUAGAUCACGCUAACUUGCCUAAUUAUGCAGAAGGUCCUGUACCACAAUAAUAACAACAACAACAAUAACAGAUGGCACAAAAAUCAUGGCAAAAGUUGGGGUACAUGUCCGAAUAAAAGAAUGGCAGGAGAUGGUGAAGAAGGCACCCUCUGCUCUGGACAUGGUGAGACUGAAUGCUCCCACAUCCGAGAAUUGGAGCCUUGGAUAGAGAGGAAGACAGAGGAAAUCUGACCACCCACGCCACCACCUGCCCUGACCUCUCACCCUGAAGCCUCAGGAAAGGGAAAAUCAAUGGGCUCCCGAAGUGCAGGAGCCCAGGGUUUGGGACUGGAAUUUGCCCCAUGCAGAGUGUUUACUGAUCUAGAGACCAGAUAGGUUCAAUGAGCUCAUCCUUAUCUUGAGAGGAAAUUAGGGAGCUCAGACUAAGACAAAGCCACAUUUUAUUCAAUGAAAAUUUACCCCUCCACCCCCCCACACACACACACACUACACACAAUGUCACAGAAAACAUCUACUUGAGGAACUUUGUCUCUAAAGUUUGGUUCUAAAAAAAAAAAAAAAAAUCAAGGAAUUGGAAAUGGUGAGCUUACAGAAAGCCAGAAAAGUUAUUCCGGAAUCUUUUCCAUUCACCCCCCAUGCAGAUCUAUAUCCUUUUUUUUUUCCCCUACAGUUUGCAAAUAUUGACUAAGUUCAAGGGCAGAGGCUUAAGGUCUAACUUCAGAGUUAGCAUGAGGUGAAAUGCUUAAGAUGGUGCAAUACUGUGCUAAUGAAGAACAUAUUAGAUCCCAAGGUUAGUUAUGGGCAGUUCUUGUCCCCUGACCCAGUUGAUAUUUGUUUUAUCAAGUCAGGGACUAUUUUUGUCAUCAUUGUUAAUCUUCCUCUUGCCAGAUCUGUUUUGGCCGAGGGCAUGCACUUGAGGUAUGUUAGAAGAAUGGAGUGCAGUAUUGUGGGAAAGAAUUAUUGCUAAUUCUGUCUGCCUACAGCUUCCUCAGUCCUAUUUGUCUGAUCUUAACUCACUGAGCAAGAUUAGAGAUGGAAAAUACUGGAAGAGAGUGACCUUGUUCCAGGAAGUAGAUUUUUAACCAAAAGAUCAAGACAGCAGCAGCAUUCCCAUUAAGACGGCAGGUCUUCGUUGUCUUGGAAAGGUUUUGAAUUGCCCAUCAGGGGAGCUCUUGAUGGAGUAUUUUGCCAAAAAAGAAGUUUAUUUCUUCAUGCAUAAGUCCAGUCUAUUGAGACUUAUCUUUGGCCUCCACAUUACCAAGGUCUUGUAUCAAGGAUUCUGGAGACCUGGCCUAAGAUCUCUGGUAGUUCUAGCUGGAAUUCUAAAUGAGCUGGCAUUUCUGACCCAUGAACUUUGGAGUUAAACCAACCCUGGUUCAAAUCUUCAUUUCCCUAUGCCUCAGUUUCUCCAGGUGUGAACAUACUCAUAGCAACGUUCUCCUUGCAAGAUUGUUAUGAGGAUCAACGUGGUAUUGUAUCUGAAAGCAUUCAACACAGUGCCUGUUGCUUCAAAUGGGAUUAAUACAUUUUAGUCUCCUUCCUUCCGCUCAGCCACUCCAGCUGCUGGUGUAUCUCCUUUCUCUGCUGCAUACAUUUGACAUAGUGGAACCAGGCCAGUAACACUUGAGGGGAUGCUGUCCUCAUAAGAAUGAAGAGAGAAAAAGAAAAGUUUCAAACAAUGUUCGGGAUAGCAAGACCCGCUUUUAAAUGAGCUGAAUAUGAACCCUGUGAGCCCCACUGAUGUUUGAAAGAGGUUAAUAUAAAAAUAGAUUUCUAAAAAUCUGAUAAUCAUAGAGUUCAUCAUAUUCUUCUUUUGGAUAUUAAUGAUGUGACUCAGUUAUUCAAGGAACUGAUAAACCCCCUGGGUAGUCGGUUGAAGGAAGAUGAUGUUCUUUUAGACUCAGCAGCCUACCCAGAGUUCUCCCCACUGACACCUCUUGUUUGAGGAUAAUACAUCUAAGAAUUCUAGUAAGUCUUAGCCACUUCCUCUCUUGAGCAUCAUGAGAAUGGUAGAAAUCCACCAAGCUGUAUCCUCCUCUUGGGCAUCCUGAGUUUUCUCAGUUGUCUCAAAACAACUUGCUUCCUAAUGUUAAAUAAAAUGGCCAUUUACAAAGGAGAUAGUCAAAGGUGUAUUUUACAUAAGCCAAUAUUAAAAGAUUCUGAUGGCAGUGAUUACUCUCAUAUUCGAUACAGGAAAUUCUCCAGUGUAUCCUAACUGGUCACAGGGAAAAUUUGUUUGAGCAACACAACACUGCAAGUGUCUUUAUGUUUGAUUUUGGAAAUCAAACGCACCAAACUUUCAAGAAAAUGGCAUAUUAAGACCUUCUGUCUGGUCUCUGUUUCUCUGCUCUUGGCACUUCCCAAUACUAUUAGAGCCAGAUCAGAGGGAGAAAUGGGAAAAGGUCAUCUAGGAUACUUAAUAAAUAUUAAAAUAGUUAAUGUAUAUUUCAAUCCAUUUUUUUAUGUGUUAACAAUAAAAAAUUAGAACAUACAGUAGAAAUGAAAUAGUGAUCAAACCUACAAGUAUUUAAAAUAAUGUUAUAAAACUAAUCUGUAAAGGUGUAAAGAAAACCUACAAGUAUAGGAAAUAAUAAUAACAAUAAUAAUAGCAACUAGAAUUUAUUUUCUUUUAAUGUGCCAAGAAUUGUCCAAUAUUUUUACUUACAUGAUUUGUUUAGUUUUCCUUGGAAAUGUUAUAAGACAUUUAAAAUUAUUAUCCUCAUUAUUUGAAAAAGGAAACUGGGACACAUCGAGGUAAGGUAAUGUUUUGAAUGGGAAGAUCCAAAAUAAUAAAUGUGUUUAUUUUAUCUAA